UGGUAUCUCAUGGUGAAAAUUUUUCUCUUGUUGGUGCACAAAAUUAUGGCCUUUUUAUGAUUGUCGCACAAACCAGGUAAGACAGGAUAAGAGCUGGAGUUUGUUGCAAUUCAAAUCAUUUUGAAUUUCAAUUUGACUCCAAUAUUUUCUCAUCUUUAUCUGAAUUAAAGAGAGACUUAUCAAAGAAAAUUAGGCAUAGAAAAUAUUUAGAAAGACUUCCUUUUCUCGCACACAAUGGGCCCCUUGA
Molecule: long non-coding RNA, 247 nt
Filed under: Elaeis guineensis (African oil palm)
Lineage: Eukaryota; Viridiplantae; Streptophyta; Magnoliopsida; Arecales; Arecaceae
Description: long non-coding RNA (EGUI_LNC069923)
Source: RNAcentral